This 164-nucleotide ribosomal RNA is filed under the name Lasthenia gracilis. RNAcentral's name for it is "5.8S ribosomal RNA". It matches the Rfam family "5.8S ribosomal RNA". From Rfam's summary of the family: 5.8S ribosomal RNA (5.8S rRNA) is a component of the large subunit of the eukaryotic ribosome. It is transcribed by RNA polymerase I as part of the 45S precursor that also contains 18S and 28S rRNA. Functionally, it is thought that 5.8S rRNA may be involved in ribosome translocation. Lineage: Eukaryota; Viridiplantae; Streptophyta; Magnoliopsida; Asterales; Asteraceae. The record is from RNAcentral.
CGACUCUCGGCAACGGAUAUCUCGGCUCACGCAUCGAUGAAGAACGUAGCAAAAUGCGAUACUUGGUGUGAAUUGCAGAAUCCCGUGAACCAUCGAGUUUUUGAACGCAAGUUGCGCCCGAAGCCUUCUGGCUGAGGGCACGUCUGCCUGGGCGUCACGCAUCA